CACAUCAUGUCCUCAACACCAGCAAUAACCGUGAAAACUUUGCAGGUGUGCCAUGAAGAAAUAUUGUUUUCUUGGUAAUGAUUUUGACCUCACAGGACUGCAAGUAUUCAGGAUGAGGCUCCUAUCAAAGAUUUCAAUGCACCUGACAUGAAUGGUCAUCAAGGCAGGGACAUUUCUGACAUUCAGGUGAGCAAUAAAGACAUAAUGGUGUCUGACUGUGGCAUAGACCUUGGUCUGCUGCAAGAUCCCAGGUAGGUUUGAUGGGACCUACAAUGAUGGAAAUGCACAAGGUUAUCUCCCAUGUCCUGGUAGAGAGGGUUAUCCAUUGACCCAUUUGUCACAGUGUGUUUUUCAUUGAUCUUAGCCAAAACGCUGAGAAGUGAUGUCACAAUGUGUUUUUCAAGGUCCUUUACAGAAAUCAGAGUGAACCUCAUUAUGAUCAAUAAGACUUUGCUUUUUCCAGAUAAGUGAUGAUGUGGGCCUUCACCCUGGAAACCGUCUAACCCUCUGAUAUGUGGGUUAUGGUUGCCAGUCAUGUUACAGUGACCCUAGUCGUGGUCAUUAAUGGGACCCUGCUAGUCACCUGGAAGGGAUAUUGUGGCCGUCACACUGUAGUUGAGAUCAACUGUUCUUCAGAUGUCUAGGGAAGUGAGGAUGUGGUCCCAAACACUAACCACAGCGUUCCCAUGUCUUCUCUGCAGAUAUCAUGGUAAAGUCUUUGCUGUUGCCCAGGUAUGUGAUUAACUCAUUAGACCUCCCUAUUUUCAAAUUGGUAUGUAAUUAAUGAGGUUUUAAAUAUUCUCACAUUACCCAUAUUUCUUGCUUGUAUGCAGUAAAAUUAAUUUAUCCCCAGCAAUACUAGUAAUGUAUACCAUUUUACCAUAUUCUUGUUCAGGGAUUGUGUUUUGCAUACUCCAUUUGAUAAAAAGAUAGGCAGAUAGCCAGAUAAACUAUCAUAUUGUCCAUCUUCACAAUAUCGAGCAUGGAAUGUUUAUAGGUAUCUCUUAAGAAAAGAAAGCAUUUCUUACCAAAGUUAGUCUUGCACUUCUCCAAGUAUCCAGCCAAUCGUGAUGAAUCUCAAGAUGACACACUUGACCAGUGGAUUCUGCAGUAGAUCAGGUAGAAUAAGGCAUGUAGGAAUUUCUGAUUGAUAGGCUCCCCCAUAUUUCAUGAGGCAUAGAAGCAUCUAGGUGAGUGAUGAUGUGGGCCUAAAUCACAGCACAGACCAUCUGAUCCUAAUAUGUAGGUAAGUGAUUGUGUCCCCAACACUUCUGUUUCUAUGAUUUUGUUGCUGGUAUUCAGCUAAGAAAUGAAAUGAUAGAGUCCUUACCUAGUGUAGCGACUAUGACUUUACAGUUUU
Long non-coding RNA from Suricata suricatta (meerkat), 1360 nucleotides. RefSeq lists it as uncharacterized. The transcript is spliced from 4 exons. The record is from RefSeq and is a predicted model, not a curated record. NCBI's taxonomy places the organism in Eukaryota, Metazoa, Chordata, Mammalia, Carnivora, Herpestidae.